UGUCCCACUGGCGUGCGGUGACCGCCGCGUGGUCGCCCAUCGAGAGACCGGUGCGCGGUUCGGCGUUGCGCGGGAUGUCC
Molecule: transfer RNA, 80 nt
Filed under: Streptomyces sp. ADI92-24
Lineage: Bacteria; Bacillati; Actinomycetota; Actinomycetes; Kitasatosporales; Streptomycetaceae
Description: tRNA-Asp
Source: RNAcentral